This 508-nucleotide ribosomal RNA is filed under the name uncultured bacterium. Its description in RNAcentral is "partial 16S ribosomal RNA". It matches the Rfam family "Bacterial small subunit ribosomal RNA", at positions 28 to 523 of the family's 1533-position model. The record is from RNAcentral.
GAUGAACGCUGGCGGCAUGCCUUACACAUGCAAGUCGAACGGCAGCGGGGGAGAAGCUUGCUUUUCCUGCCGGCGAGUGGCGAACGGGUGAGUAAUACAUCGGAACGUGCCCUGUAGUGGGGGAUAACUAGUCGAAAGAUUAGCUAAUACCGCAUACGACCUGAGGGUGAAAGUGGGGGACCGCAAGGCCUCAUGCUAUAGGAGCGGCCGAUGUCUGAUUGGCUAGGUGGUGGGGUAAAGGCCUACCAAGGCGACGAGCAGUAGCUGGGCUGAGAGGACGAUCAGCCACACUGGGACUGAGACACGGCCCAGACUCCUACGGGAGGCAGCAGUGGGGAAUUUUGGACAAUGGGCGAAAGCCUGAUCCAGCAAUGCCGCGUGUGUGAAGAAGGCCUUCGGGUUGUAAAGCACUUUUGUCCGGAAAGAAAUGGCUCUGGUUAAUACCUGGGGUCGAUGACGGUACCGGAAGAAUAAGGACCGGCUAACUACGUGCCAGCCGCCGCGGUAA